CGGUAAUACGUAGGGCGCGAGCGUUGUCCGGAAUUAUUGGGCGUAAAGAGCUUGUAGGCGGUUUGUCGCGUCUGCUGUGAAAGGCCGGGGCUUAACCCCGUGUAUUGCAGUGGGUACGGGCAGACUAGAGUGCAGUAGGGGAGACUGGAAUUCCUGGUGUAGCGGUGGAAUGCGCAGAUAUCAGGAGGAACACCGAUGGCGAAGGCAGGUCUCUGGGCUGUAACUGACGCUGAGAAGCGAAAGCAUGGGGAGCGAACAGGAUUAGAUACCCUGGUAGUCCAUGCCGUAAACGUUGGGCACUAGGUGUGGGGGACAUUCCACGUUUUCCGCGCCGUAGCUAACGCAUUAAGUGCCCCGCCUGGGGAGUACGGCCGCAAGGCUAAAACUCAAAGAAAUUGACGGGGGCCCGCACAAGCGGCGGAGCAUGCGGAUUAAUUCGAUGCAACGCGAAGAACCUUACCAAGGCUUGACAU
Molecule: ribosomal RNA, 473 nt
Filed under: uncultured bacterium
Lineage: Bacteria
Description: bacterial SSU rRNA
Rfam family: Bacterial small subunit ribosomal RNA
Source: RNAcentral